This 141-nucleotide small nuclear RNA is filed under the name Microcebus murinus (gray mouse lemur). Its description in RNAcentral is "U4 spliceosomal RNA (ENSMICG00000043381.1)". It matches the Rfam family "U4 spliceosomal RNA". From Rfam's summary of the family: U4 small nuclear RNA (U4 snRNA) is a component of the major U2-dependent spliceosome. The structure of U4 snRNA from yeast and human has been reported. Lineage: Eukaryota; Metazoa; Chordata; Mammalia; Primates; Cheirogaleidae. The record is from Rfam by way of RNAcentral.
AGCUUUGUGUGUUGGCAGUAUCAUAACCAAUGAGGUCUAUCCAAGGCGUGAUUAUUGCUAAUUGAAAACUUUUCCCAAUACCCCAUUAUGAUGAAUCGCAAUCUAGUUGGCAUUGGCAAUUUUUGACAGUCCCUACGGGGA